GACCCAGUGGCAAUUGGUGUGCAUCUGCCCACAUUAUUAAUCCCAAAUCAAAGGUACGACGGAUGAACCUGGUUCGAUUCCAGGCUGGGUCU
Mycena leptocephala is the source of this 92-nucleotide non-coding RNA. The record is from the annotation of a GenBank genome assembly. NCBI's taxonomy places the organism in Eukaryota, Fungi, Basidiomycota, Agaricomycetes, Agaricales, Mycenaceae.